GAUGAACGCUGGCGGCGUGCCUAAUACAUGCAAGUCGAGCGGACGGACGAGAAUCUUGCUUUUCUGAUGUUAGCGGCGGACGGGUGAGUAACACGUGGAUAACCUACCUAUAAGACUGGGAUAACUUCGGGAAACCGGAGCUAAUACCGGAUAAUAUUUUGAACCGCAUGGUUCAAAAGUGAAAGACGGUCUUGCUGUCACUUAUAGAUGGAUCCGCGCUGCAUUAGCUAGUUGGUAAGGUAACGGCUUACCAAGGCAACGAUGCAUAGCCGACCGGUGUGGGGGGUCGGCGACCCGGGAGGGGAGACGCGGUCCAGGCUACUACGGGAGGCAGCAGUAGGCUACCGGCCGCAAUGGGCGGAAGCCUGACAGAGCAGCGGGACGUGAGUGAUGAAAGUCUUCGGAGCGUAAAACUCUGUUAUUAGUGGAGAACCUAUUUGUCCGUAACCGUGGACAGCUUGACGGUACCGGGUCAGAAAGCAACGGCUAACUACGUG
Molecule: ribosomal RNA, 497 nt
Filed under: uncultured bacterium
Lineage: Bacteria
Description: partial 16S ribosomal RNA
Rfam family: Bacterial small subunit ribosomal RNA
Source: RNAcentral